GGCGGCUGAGUUCAAGUUGGUAUUUUUGCAUUUCUUCAGAUUAUCACUUAGAUCGCCAAUACGCCUGAAAUAUUUUGGGCUUUCUCCCCAGAGUUAUUAUUUGGAUAUUGCGGUUUGGUGUUGAAGCAGACGUCAUUGUCAAAUUAAUGAAUACAGUAAAACUAUGGCUUGGGCUGCUUCCUGUCUGCGCUAAUAACAGCCUGUAGGACCAGAGAGGAGUUUGGUUACCUACUGGGAAGGUACAUCCCACAAUGAACUCUUCCUAGAAAGUGCUUUUAUUAGUAACACUCAAAGUCCUUCAGGACACGUGUCAAGCUCUGAUGAAACAUGGCUGAUAAAACAAAGCCGGGUUCAUAAGGGCAGCCUCACUAUUGCAUCGUCCUGUCUGAUCUCCAAUAACCUCACUGCCAGACCAGCAGGCAUCAGGCCACAUCAGGACAUCCCCCAUACCCAGACCAGCAGGCAUCAGGCCACAUCAGGACAUCCCCCAUACCCAGACCACCAGGCAUCAGGCCACAUCAGGAGAUCCCCCAUACCCAGACCACCAGGCAUCAGGCCACAUCAGGACAUCCCCCAUACCCAGACCACCAGGCAUCAGGCCACAUCAGGAGAUCCCCCAUACCCAGACCAGCAGGCAUCAGGCCACAUCAGGACAUCCCCCAUACCCAGACCAGCAGGCAUCAGGCCACAUCAGGACAUCCCCCAUACCAAGGCAGAGACCACAUACUCACACGCCAUCACAUUUAGAAUCACGUUAGAUUCACAUUUACAUUCAUUAAAUCGAGCAGACCCUUUCAUCCAAAGUGAAUGACAGUGCACACAGAUUUCAUGCAGGUUGUGUUCCUCCCUCCAUUGAUCGUGCCAAUGCUCAAUAACACAGUUGGUUUAAAGACCGUAAUUCCCCUCAUUAAUCUAACACACGGUAAACGCAUUAGUCACACAUUUGAGGUUCGCAAAGCCAUAAAAAAAAAAAAACUAAAAAAAAAACUGUCAGGGCCAUUAAAAUCACAGCGUAAGGCCCGAGUAGGAUCCCUCUGCAGAUACUCAAAGGGACUUGAUGACCUUUCGGAGCGGGAGCCCAGUUUGUCGCUCUUUAAAGGGCCGUGCGCUGAGGCUGAAACAGCAUGAUUCAGAGGCACAUGUUAGAGGUGCCGAGGCGGCAGCGGUGCGGUCCCUGUGAGGGGAGAAUAAUAACAGUCACUGCUUAGACUGGCGCUGGGCACGGAGAGUGUUUAAACUGUAGCCCAGGCCACUCCAAACACCUCCCACACACACCAGCGUCACGUGACUGCUCUCUCCAACAGGGACGCUGCACCGCCCUCACUGCUGGGGGAGCUCCAGCCGGGAGCACAGGCCCAGUCCAC
This is a long non-coding RNA of Clupea harengus (Atlantic herring), 1364 nucleotides long. Lineage: Eukaryota; Metazoa; Chordata; Actinopteri; Clupeiformes; Clupeidae. The record is from Ensembl.